RNAcentral lists this long non-coding RNA (1416 nucleotides) under Macaca mulatta (Rhesus monkey). RNAcentral's name for it is "lncRNA (ENSMMUG00000058263.1)". The record is from RNAcentral. Lineage: Eukaryota; Metazoa; Chordata; Mammalia; Primates; Cercopithecidae.
GGGCAGAUCUAAAAGCUUCCCUACCGCGGCCCAGGCGGUCGAUAGCAGACUCCCAGGCUCCGUUUCUGCCUGCCGGGCAGCCCGGGCCCUUCCCGCCAGCCCAGCCCCCGGGAGGGGACUCGAGUUGGGCGGAGCCUCCUCCGCUGCCGCACGCCGGGCUCUGCUCUCCCUCCCCGGAUGCCCCUCCUUCUCCAUCCCCAGAAGUCUCAGCCACUGAGAUUCCCCUUGUCCCGGAGGCUGGCUGGAGGGGAAGACCCAGGUGACUGCGCUUUGGAGGCUGGACCAUCGUGGGGCCUGUCUGUGCCCACUUUUACCCCAUUCAAGAGUUACCAGGGCCAGGCGCAGUGGCUCAGGCCUGCAAUCCCAGCACUUUCGGAGGGCAAGACAAGAGGAUCGCUUGAGCCCAGGAGCUUGAGAACAGCCUGGGCAACAUGAGCCAGCCAGGCCCCUGGGCCUGGAGCAUCCACAGGAGGAAAGUACAAGAACCCCAGCACCCUGCCAAGCAGCAGGGACUCUUCAGAUGCCCGAGGGCUGGUUUGCCCAGAGCCAGCUGGGAAGGACUCAUGGUGACCAGAAGGGGAAACUGAGGCACUGCUGAGCACCAACAGUCCUGGAGAGCUUUAAGAAUGGUUGCCAUCUGAGGCCAGGCACAGUGGUUCAUGCCUAUAAUCCCAGCACUUUGGGAGGCCAAGGCAGGCGGAUCACUUGAGGUCAGGAGUUCGAGACUUGUCAGGCCUCUGAGCCCUAGCUAAGCCAUCAUAUCCCCUGUGACCUGCACGUAGACAUCCAGAUGGCCUGAAGCAACUGAAGAUCCACAAAAGAAGUGAAAAUAGCCAGUUCCUGCCUUAACUGAUGACAUUCCACCAUUGUGAUUUGUUCUGGCCCAACCCUAACUGAUCAAUGUCUUUGUGACAAUACACCCUCCCCACCCUUGUGAUAAUGUACUUUGUGAUACUCCCCCGCCCUUAUGAAUGUACUUUGUACCAUACACCUUCCCCACCCUUGAGAAGGUACAUUGUAAUAUUCUCCCUGCCCACCUUGAGAAUGUACUUUGUACAAUCCACCCCCUCCCUGCAAAAAGAUUGCUCCUGGCCAGGCGCCGUGGCUCACGCCUGUAAUUCCAGCACUUUGGGAGGCCGAGGUGGGUGGAUCACGAGGUCAGGAGAUGGAGACCAUCCUGGCUAACACUGUGAAACCCGGUCUCUACUAAAAAUUAACAAAAAAUUAACCAGGCGUGGUGGCAGGCGCCUGUAGUCCCAGCUACUCAGGAGGCAGAGGCAGGAGAAUGGCGUGAACCUGGGAGGUGGAGCUUGCAGUGAGCCGAGAUCGCACCACUAUACUCCAGGAAAAAAAAAAAAUUGCUCCUAACUCCACCACCUAUCCCAAACCUAUACGAACUAAUGAUAAUCCCACCAC